GCACAACAUGGACAAAAGUAUAUGGACAAAUGUUCACUGAAAAUGUUAUUUGAAAAGCAUAGAAGAGCUUUAAAGGGACACUAUAGUCACCUAAACAACUUUAGCUUAAUGAAGCAGGUGUAUAGAACAUGCCCCUGCAGCCUCACUGCUCAAUCCUCUGCCAUUUAGGAAUUAAAUCCCUUUGUUUAUGAACCCUUGUCACACCUACCUGCAUGUGACUUGCACAGCCUUCCAUAAACACUUCCUGUAAAGAGAGAGUCCUAUUUAGGUUUUCUUUACUGCAAGUUCUGUUUAAUUAAGAUUUUCUUAUCCCCUGCUAUGUUAAUAGCUUGCUAGACCCUGCAAGAGCCUCCUGUAUGUGAUUAAAGUUCAAUGUAGAGAUUGAGAAACAAUUAUUUAAGGUAAAUUACAUCUGUUUGAAAGUGAAACCAGUUUUUUUUUCAUGCAGGCUCUGUCAAUCAUAGCCAGGGAAGGUGUGGCUAAGGCUGCAUAAACAGAAACAAAGUGAUUUAACUCCUAAAUGACAGUGAAUUGAGCAGUGAAAUUGCAGGGGAAUGAUCUAUACACUAAAACUGCUUUAUUUAGCUAAAGUAAUUUAGGUGACUAUAGUGUUCCUUUAAAAACAAGUUAGCUGCUAGAACAUUGCUGCGGGGAUUUGUUUACAUCCAAACGAGACAAUAUGUAUAUACCAAUGUAUACAGUUUGUCCCGGAUUGUAGAUUUUUUUUUUUCUGGCUUUAGUUGAGAAUCAUGGAAGUUACAGUUUACAGUACCCAAAUUCCUCUUUAACCCAUACGUUCACCCUCUUUUUUUAAAAAGGAACGCUAUAGAGCAAACCGGUGUUCCUGUCGCUAUAAUGUCCCUUACCCUAGUUAUAUUCAGGACCUUGCACACUAUUUGUCAUAGCUUCUCAUAGUAAUGCAUUGAAUUCAAUCCACUACAGCAGUAGUGCCUCUAGCUGCUUUCAGUAUGAGAGCCACUAAUAGGUGUGUUUAACCCUUCAAGAUAAACAUUGACCUUUCUUCUGAAUGGUAAUGUUUUACAUUGAAGGUACUAAAGUCACUCAGAACAAUUCAUUGAAAUGAAGUGAUCUGGGAGACUAUAGUGGUCCUUUUAUCUAAAGUACUCCUAACCAAAUGUUCCCAUUCCUAAACUCUCUCUAACCCUCCGACAAAGCUUCACCUUUGGAUGUUAAAACAUCACCGUACAGAACAGUAAUAGAGGCUGGUCCAUAGGACCAUUUCUGGCCAUAUACAUUGAACCUGAAAGCAUACUCUUUCCAAUACAUUGACCAGUCUUUGUUUUUCUUAAAUUGUCAUGAAUAUUGAAAAAUAAUUCCUUAAAUUACAGUGGUUCAUACACUACACUGUAAAAUAAAAUCUAUUUGAAGAUUUAUUUAUUGUUUUGUAUCCUGCUUAUAGUGGAAUUCUAAGUGUGAAUAUUAAGGAAUCUUUAACUUAACCCUUUUAUAGCACCAUUGUUGUGGUUAUAAUGCUAUGUAUGUCUAGUGGGCAAACAUGUAAAUUCCUGUUCCUUCCUAAUCUGAGAAUAAUAAAGCGUCUGUAUUUCUCAUUCUAUUUUAACACAAACCAAUCAUCAGGUACACUUCAGACUGUUAUAGUCUAUUCACUCCAGGCAUAAAACUGGUUAACAAUUAAACCAUUUCCAGUAUGGAGGAUUGAAUAAAAUACUGUUAAUACUGUUAAGGAGAACACAUAUCUGUCUAUUAAACUGGAAAACAAUGGCAUGGUUCAAGAUCCCUAGUACUAUGAAAGUAGUAAUUUU
This 1784-nucleotide long non-coding RNA is filed under the name Pelobates cultripes (western spadefoot toad). Lineage: Eukaryota; Metazoa; Chordata; Amphibia; Anura; Pelobatidae. The record is from RNAcentral.